Long non-coding RNA from Mesocricetus auratus (golden hamster), 3822 nucleotides. RefSeq lists it as uncharacterized. The record is from RefSeq and is a predicted model, not a curated record. The transcript is spliced from 3 exons. NCBI's taxonomy places the organism in Eukaryota, Metazoa, Chordata, Mammalia, Rodentia, Cricetidae.
ACAGACGGACGGAGUGACGGACGGACUGGCUGCAGCUGCGGCCAGUGGCGGGCACUCACCCUCCUCCCUCACGCGGCCCGGCCCGAGGCUCCGGUUUUGUACGCCCGAGAGGCGGGGCCUCCGGGUUAAAGCCCCGCGCCGGCCCCGCCCCUCGCGUCAGCCGCGCGCGUCGCCCGGGAUUCCCGGGCCACCAGGGGGAGCGCGCAGCCCGGGCCGCCGCGCAGGCGCGCACGCGUACCGCGCGGCCCACGCCCUGGCCGGCCGGCCCUGAAAGGGAGUGCGCGCCCACGCCGGCUCGCGCAUGCCCGAGCCGGGGGCUCCGCCCUCUCGAGCGGUCCCACCAAACCGGUUCCAACUGGAAAGCAACCCCAAGCUAAGUGUCCGUGUGUCCGUGCGGGCUCAUCCUGAUGCCGACGCCUGGUUGUGGGUAGGGAAACCGAGGCUGAGGAGGGAGUCGCCCUGCACACAGGUCCUCUCUACUCAUCAUCCUGGCAGUUUGUAGUUGUUCCUCGUCCCAUCCCUGGAUGUGCUCCCAAGGAUCCUAAAGAUGGGUUCAGUAUCACACCUGUGUGACCUCAGACAAGACACUCGAUCUUUUCGUGCCUCUGUCAUUCUCUGUAAAAUGUGACAAAAGCACACCGCUCCUGCCCGAUCCCACUCCUGCUUCCUCCCUCCCGCAGACCUGGCACUGCUUGCAACGGGUCUGCCAGGCACAGAUCCUUGCUGGGUGACUGAGGCAAGCCGACUGCCUGCUUUCUGCAGCUGGAUCUUUUUUUUUUUUUUUUUUUUUUGGUUUUUCGAGACAGGGUUUCUCUAUUUUUUGGAGUCUUCUGCAGCUGGAUCUUAAAGAAGGUAUGAAGAAGGUAACACUGUUUCCAGCAGAAGUCUUUUGCAUUAAGACAUUAUGACGAGAACAACAAGCUAAUUUGAUGCCAGGCACUGUGCUAAGCACAUUAAAAGCAGGAGCUGGCUACACCAUGCUAUUCAGUUUCAUUUGCUUUACUUAGGAAAAGGCAAAGUAAAUUCUCGAUGGGCGAUGACACCCCAGUUCAGCCCACCAUGCGAUCUCUAUCUCACCACCACCCUUCCAACGCAGUAACAUACUUCUUGUAUAAACUUGGGCAAGUCCCCUUUUGUCUUUGGGAGGCAUGUCCCCUGGAAAGAAAUGAGGCAGAAACAGAACUUUCACAAUGAAGUCUUUGACCCCCUGAAUCCUGCUCACUAUUGAAAAGAACGCACGGCAGCUUCAAUAUGGACUUCACCAAGUCUGAGAUCUUGGUGCUGGAGGGAUUUCAGCACACUUGUAAUGGUGAUCUUUUGGGGUCCUGUGAGUAGAUGGUGGCGAAGGGUUGUGAGGAGCAGUGGCCUUUCUUGACUCAGCACAAAACUACCACAUGGACCAGCUGCAGCUCUGGCCAGAGGCCUGAAAAUCUGGUGGCUUUGGUUUUCCUGGGUGGCAGAUGUGAAACCAAGAGACUUGAAAUGUGUCACAAAAUGAGGCUGUCUUCCUAUCCUUCUGCCACCUCCAUGGAAGAACAUGGCCGGGUUGGGACACUGACUCCUUAACAGCCUUUGGACCCUGGGUAUAGACACAUGAAGCCAAGGCAGCUGACCUGCAAACUCAUGAAUAAGUACUUAUUGUUUUUCCCCACUGUUUAUACUGAGCAGUACUGAGAUGGUACACAAAGCAGAGUGUGACUGCAAGAAUAACCAAGAUAUAUCAUUCUGGAUACAGGACCAAGCAGUGAGGAGAUGAUGAGCAAACUCUUAGAGGAGGCUUGAAAAAAAUGUCUGGGUUCUACGUGGGCCAGAGCUCUCUGUGAAAUUCACCUAUAGGCACUUAAGUGAGCAGAUAUAGAUUCUUGGGCAAGAGCUGGCUCCUUUGGAUAUGAACUUGAAAGAGAGAAGAACUCACAAAAGAAAUAGCCAAUCUAUCAGGAUGCUUUGGGGAAAUAGGAAGGGCCUAGAACUUACUGAGUCGGAAAAUAAAUCUGUCAACUUCAGCCUCCAGCCAGUAGAUCAUUCUCAAAUUAAGAUAUAGCCUGGGAUAAAGAUCAAACCAGAGUCACUGCCCUUUAAAAUACCACGCAGGCCUGGUGCAGUGGUUCAAGCCUUAAAUCUCAGCACUCAAGAGGCAGAGGCAGGCUGGUCUUUAUAUAGAGAGUUCCAGGCUAGACAGGGCUACAUAGUGAGACCCUAUCUCAAAAAGAAAAAAAAAGAAGGUGGGGGGGAACCAAUUGGUAAGCUGGCUGUAAUUCCAGUUUCCAGUUCAAGGGAAUCUGACAUAAUCAUAUACUCUUCUGGCCACUAUGGUCACCUGCAUACAUGUAGUACCUAUAUAGAAAAGUAGGCAUGCAUGCAUGCACACACAUACACACAAUAAAAACGUCUCAGGUGGUCAAAGGAACUGUCAGAAAGCUCAGUGGUGUGGUCCCACAGAAGCCCAGCAUGCUCAAAAUAGGAACAAUUAAGUAAAGAGAGGCUUAACGUAAAAGUGGCUGUGGGUAUGACUUUGCCACAAAGAGUUACAUGAAAUUAAACUGAAUAAAUUAAAUUAAACUGUUUGAGCUAGGCCAAUGAGCUUCGGCUAACGUAGAUGUACCCUCCUACUGUUCCUAAGGAGGAAACAGGCUGAAGGCCAGAGUUCAUAUUCUCAGUGUAGGAAGUCUUCAGGAAUCUUCACCUGUCUGUGAAGGUGCUCAUGGUUUGUCCAGAAGGGUUUCAGAGUCAGUGAGUCAGUAAGUCUCUGAAUCCCCAUCUCCUUUCUAAACAGAGUAUGAGUGGCAGUUAUCCUGUCCUUAUUUUCUAAGUCAGGUUUUCAUUGGGGGAAGAGGGGUUUGGGCUACAGGGAGGAUGAUAAGGGUGUUUAGAUCACAGGUGAUGGGUCAAGGGGAGCUACAACCAGAUCUGGCACAAAUCACGGAUCUUGACGUUGUGGCUGUAUGAAAUAUUGGGAGAUCUUGGGUAGGAUAAGUAUCUUCUAUGUGAGAGAGGCAUGGAUUCAUGUGUGGAAUAGAGCAGACUGAAUUAUUGCCACUGAUUCUUUUCCCCUUUCUAUAGUCACACCCUUUGCCAUAGGGAUACAGUCUUCUCUAUAGUAGUGAGGUGGUCCUCACCCUUGACUGAGAGCUCAGUUAUGCAACUUGCUUUAGCCAAUGGAUGUUUGCUUAGAUUGGGCCUUGACUGUGCUUGUACUGUUAGGCUUGCUCUUGCCUUCUGCCCUCUUCAUGAGAUGAACACAUCCUGGCUAGACCACUCAUCUCAGGAGAAUAAGAGACUGACAGACUUGGGUAUGUUUGUUGUACAGUGUUAUUGAAGCAAGAGCUAAGCCACUGAGGGACCCAAUGGUCUGGGAUAUGCAGCUAUCAUGCAUUUUUGGUCCAUUUACUCAUUAGCAGUGGGGGUUGGAGGAAAUAGGUGAGUGAGGUUUAUUUGCAGUGAAUUCCUGUGGAUGUUGUGUAUCCUCCUGAGCCAUCUCAUUCUUUAAGAACUUCUCAGGGGUGUGAAAAUGUAAAGAAUGUGAUCCUUACCUGAGACUCCCAUGGGACCGCAGCAGAGUUCUGGGACAGCCUGGCAGAUCUCCCUGGAUUCCAAAUCCAAGAAUAUGGCUAUGGAUUCCAUAGCCACAGCCCCCGCCCCAGCUUAGGCACUUCUAAGUGGAAAAGCUUGUUGGCCUACAUGGAAGGAAGGUCUACAAGGAAGGCACUAGUGGAGCAGUACAUAUCCCAUGUUCCAAGAGGCAACUGUUGUAGGAGUGAACCCCACAAAGCUAUCCGCCCAUGAGGGCCGGGACAUGUAAACUAACACAGGUAGAUAUAAAAG